Molecule: long non-coding RNA, 2032 nt
Filed under: Heterocephalus glaber (naked mole-rat)
Lineage: Eukaryota; Metazoa; Chordata; Mammalia; Rodentia; Bathyergidae
Description: lncRNA (ENSHGLG00100036560.1)
Source: RNAcentral
GAGCGAUGUGAGCGCUGAGUGAAAUAAAGACAAGGAAGGUGAUUAUUUCGGCUGGGCUCCCCAGAAGCAGGCUCCAGAUGAAAACCUGGGGAUGUGUACUUUAUUUGGGAGAGGCCCUCAGUGGGCCUUGGAAGAGGUUGGGGAGCCAGGUGGGACGCCUGGGACCUGCUUUCCAGUGUCCAUGCUCACCCUUGCAGCCUCUUUGCAAGUCCGCACAGCAGAGACAAUGGGAGCCCCCUGGCCUGGCAGUCUGUCACCAGAGAAGGACAGGAACUCGGGGUAAUUCCUUUCUCUCCCAGGAUGAGUUCGGGGGGCAUCCCCUCUGAUGUGGGCUCAGGACUUGCCCUGUCUUGUGUCCUUGUCCCACAAGCCUAUGAUGAUAAAAGGGAAAGUCACAUUUAUGAAUAUUUUAUUAACACAUGAUUGUGGCAAUAAUUUCUCCCCCUUCCCCCUCCUAAGUUAUUUAUUUUAAGAAGAGCAGCUGUUGGUCUGCCUGGCGGCCCUGCCCAAUGAUCUAUCCACUAUAUAUUCUGCUUUGGAAGGUUUCGUGAUAGGUUGUUCCAAAGUCAGCUAUUAAGAAUUUCACAGUCAUAUAUAAAUCUCUGUGCUUUGUGUCAUAACGGAUCAUUUUGAAUUACAUUAAGAAUCAUCUUCAGGGCCAGGGAUUUAGCUCAGUGGUUUAGCUGCCUGCUUUGCAAGUGCAAGGACCCGAGUUUGAUUCCCGGCACCCCCCCCCCACCCCAAAAGAAUCAUCUUCAUUAAUCAAGCCUCUUUUUUUUCAUGAAGAUAGUGCUCUCUUCCCAGUGUGCCUGGCUUCCUUAACUGAGUUUGAAAGCCCUGGUCCUAUUUUACAAAACCGGUAUCGUCCCUGUGGGGAGAUGUGGGGCCAUAUAACCACAGUCAGGGUUUUUGAACCCAUAAAGGAAUAACAGCCACUGCUAGUGUGGGUUCAGUGUUUGACGGUUUCAGAAGCACUUACACCUCAGUGAUGUCUGUGAUCUGAUCAGACUCAGGCAAUAAUCCAGUGAGAAAAACUGCCUCCCACUAGCUGGGGGCAGGUCUGAGCCUGUUUCCUCCUCUGCACAAUGGGGCUCCUGCUGGUGUGAUGGCCUACCCGACUCCAUCUUGUGCCUCAGUGCCAUUUUGUACCUGUGCUUGAACAAAGUGACUGCACAUAAACAAAGCACCCAAAGCCCCCCCGCAUCCUGCUUUGCAGUAAACUUGCUACAGUUGCAGAAUGUUUUGUAGCUCACCUAGUGUGUGUGAAACUUCCUUGAACCCCCGACUAACCUGGCAUGAUUCUGCUUCUGUAAGAUUCCGCUUGCUCUCCCCUGAGCCCUCCCCAACUGAAAGCAUGAUUUGAAAGGUGAAAUCAAACUGCUUCCCAUUGCCGAGGAAAGAUUCUGGGCGCUAGUCCCCCGCAGCCGCUGGCUAUAAUACAUGGGCUUGAAUCUGGCACAGAGUGUGGCACAUCUCUAUCCGAACUCGCUCAUCCACAACAGCUGGAGGCCCCAGCGAGAUGGCCACAGUGGGUGGACUGGCCUUGCUGUGAUCCCUCCCAUCUGCGGCAGCAAACUACAGGGGAGGCGCCCCCUGAGAUGUUCCAGGGCCCCGUAUUCUCACUGCUGACACUGAAGGGACUGCACACACCUGAGACGCCCUCCAAAUUUUCUGGAGCUCAUCUGGUCUGGAGGUCACCACCUCAGGAAGACGCAGUCCAGAGAUUCUCUUACCUUUGAGGGAGCCCCCUCCUCCGGAUGGAGCAGGACUGGGAACCAGCCUGUUCCUGGUAUAUAUCUCCUUUUCCACUUCUGACCUCUACAACUGGAAAACCCAGGACCCACCAUUCUCUGAGAAGCCCCAGGUUUUGAUGUCCAUGAUAGAGUCGAUCUGUAGCACUCAUCUACCAAUUAUAUGUGAUUGCCAUCUCUAGGUGCUCAUGUGAUCUUUGCACAAAUGUAUGGAAAGAGAGAGAAUGAGUAAGCUGUUUUGUGUCACUUUUGGGGGAGAGGUACUAGGAAUUGAACCCAGG